RNAcentral lists this long non-coding RNA (793 nucleotides) under Vigna radiata. Its description in RNAcentral is "long non-coding RNA (VRAD_LNC003520)". Lineage: Eukaryota; Viridiplantae; Streptophyta; Magnoliopsida; Fabales; Fabaceae. The record is from RNAcentral.
AAGAGCAAGGAGUUCUUGGUAAUUUGAGAUGUGUUCUUAAAGGGUUCUACAGUAAAGACGAGUGGUUCUUUGUGCAUGUGUUAUCUUUCUAUAUUUGAUUGUUGAGUGGGAGAGGUGUUUACAUUUUGAUAGAGUUCUCUGUAAAACCUUUGGUGUAAAACCCAAAUCAUUAUAGUGAAAGAUCCUUCAAUCUAAGGUUGAUUGGAAGGGAAACUAGAUGUAGGCAUUGAGGCCGAACCAGUAUAAAUCCUCUGUUUGUAUUUCUUUCCUUAUCUCUUUUACUUUCCUUGCAUACGUGUAUUGCUUAGACUACAAGAAAGAUCAAGGAUCAUUCUAUGUUUGCGAAAAUAUUUAAAAAGCAUUUGUUUUUAUUGAUUACCAAUUCACCCCUACUCUCAGUGUUGAGAAACAUUGCACUUCAUUUCUUACAAUUAGGACUUCAAGAGGGCUACCACAUCAUUUAUUUUCGUUUUGUAAUUUUAGUUUUUUUAGUUUUGGACAGAUUGGCACCUUUGGGCCCAAUUUUAGGUCAUAUUUUGUAAGAAGCCCAUAUGGAGAACAUUUUGGUCUUUUGGGGUUUGAGAACCCCAAAUCAGGUUUUCACUUUCUCCCCCCUCUCAUUUUUGUUUUCUAUCUAGGUCUUGGAGCAUGGUUUCGUUUUUCAGCCCCCCCCCUUUUGGCAGUUUAGGUUUGCUUUCGUUAUCUCUUCUUUUGUAUUGAACCAAUUUCAUUUUCAAUUGCAAUUUGAUUUUCGUUUAGUUCCCUUAUUUGCAUUACACUUUCUUUUUUCCCC